UAAAAUUCGGAUUUGUUGCUGGUUCACAUUUAGGUGAGGGAGGAGUUGACUAGCUAGCUAGCUCGUGUCAAACAUUGGAAAAAUAAAGACAUGUCAGCUGAAAAGGUCGUCAAAAAAACUGAGAGCAGGUACUUUUAACGUUACACCCCAGUUGACGGCGUUCCAGUAAACAAGUCGGAAAACCAACUGUUAGCUGUUGUUAGCCGUUGUUAACAAUUGUCAGCUGUCGUUAGCCGUUUUCGGCGGUUGUUGGUCGUUGGGCAGUACAACAUUUACCACUUAUAUAAUUUCGCUAAAACAAAACAGAAGUGUGAAUAAAUAAUACGUUACGAAAGCCGUAAUUGUUACUAUACUGUUUUUGUUACUGUCGUCAAAUCGAGGUUGGUGGGGAUCAUCUGACUUUCUGAGUCAGAAAUCCGACUUCAGGGGGGUGUUCCAGAUGGAUUUUCGAUUUAGAGCUCAGAAAUCCCGAGUACAACUGGAACGCACCCUUUGUCUUUAAGUUGUGGCCCCGCCCCCUUUUUUAGUCAAAGCAGGCCUUCUUUAAAAACUAAAACAAGAGCUUGAAAUAAACGAGCUAAACCGUGUUAUUUGAUUGGCUGAUGAGAGCCCAAAUAUAUAGACAUUAUAUACAAAGACACCUCAUAGAUUGACGCUGCCUAUUGGAGCUUAUGUAUCAGCGCGGCUGCCAUCUUGGAUGGGUCCCCCAAACGCCCUAAGCCAAUUAUUUCUACUGGAGAAGAUAGGCAUGCACAACUUGUUUUAUCGUAACUCCUGAACUCCCUGAAAGCGCAGAGUUGUAGUUAUCAUAGAGGACACUGUUCCACAUUAAAAAUAAAACAAAUAUUUUUUCUAUCGUACUCGUGUCGGGUUAUCCUACGUGAUCCGGUUUCAAUACUGCGCUGGUUUUUGCGACGGUAGGGUGCACGAAAAACCAGCGCUUACUCUCCAUUGGCUCUGGCGCGAGCCUAGCAUGUAAAGACCUAUCCAAUAUGGCGGUGACGCUGGAUUACACUCCAGGAUGGAAUGAGACUUCUAUGUAUAUUAUGUCUAUGGCUCAAAUGUAACAGCUCCACGUUCAACAGAAGAAAGUUUUACCAGAUGUUUGUUAAAUUUUGACGAUGUAGAGUUACUUUAAAUGAGUUUUUUGUCUCAAUAAAAGAGACUGAAAAUACAUAGAAGUUGUACUGCUCCCUUUGUCCACAGGGGGCAGUAAAAUUGACACAAAUUAAAAGUUCCUUACUAGAGCUUUAAACAAAUCAAAAGUUAAAUUUUAAGAGGCUCAGAAACAGCCCCAGUAAUGUGGUAUUUAUUAAAAAGUACUCCAGAGUGUUUACUACUGAACCGAUUUUCAGGCUCCUACAUUAUUCACAAAAGUCUCCUUAUUAUGAAACUGUCUUAUUAUUCAUCCCUGCGGAGUCACGGGGUGAAUUAUCUCUCAUAUCUGCGGUAGAAAAAGGUCACUAACUCCUCAUCCUGGACUGUAACACCUCCUAACUUUGCUGUGAUUGAUAAGGCGAGUUUGUGAAGAGGAACCAGGUGACAGACGAGGACGAUCGAUCGAGGGCCAAACACCUGAAGAGAUUGGGACUGCGUCUGAGAGCAUGUCCGCGUAUCGAUUUUCCUCUGAACUCGCUAUUACACGCAUCAUAUCUCAUUCAUUUCUGUCAGCAGUUCCCAUGGCAACUUCUUCUGUGUUCUCCCAGGAUGCUCUUGAACCCAUCGCCGAGCCUGUUUGCGUGGGCGUGCGAGCAUGUGUGUAUUUAAAGUAUCUUACACAGCCAGGCGGGGGGUCGCAUUAAUGACUUGUAUCUGUGGAAACACCAGCGGCGCUCUCAUCAAUAAGCACCAAUUACAAAGCCAGUUUCGGCUGCCUGUUAUAGUAUUGUGUGUGUGUGUGUGUGUUGUGUGUAUUGUUUGUGUGCGUUCGGGGGUGUUGGGCUGAUUAAGAGACAAACAGAGUACAGAGGAGCUGAGAUGGAUGAUAAUGAGGUCAGAUCUUCUCGUCCAAGAUGUAGAAGUGACCGAAUUCAUCAGGCCCCUGGCAGCUAUCCGUCCUCUCUGCUGUUCAUUAUCGGUGACGGGUUCGAUCGCCGGGUCCAAGAACAAACAGACGGAACAACUUGUUGCUAACUUUUUUGUUGUUUCUUCUUGUUUAUCAAUCUUGGGAUCCAUCGGCUCUGGGGGUGACAGUCAGAACGUUUACAUGACACUCGAGAAAACAGACGCUCCUGCUCGCUCGUAUCGUUCCAAUUAAAUUCCGAUAUAAUGCAGAUAAAUCCUUCAGAUCAUUACAAAUGGGGCCCAGUCAAGGUGAAAGUCAAAAGCAUUGGUGCUACUGUAGAUGCCAACAGACUACCAGCAAACACAAUGUUUGCAGGACUUCUACAACGAGGAUAAAGUGACAUAGUCCAGGACCCGAGGGAGGACAGUUUAGCGAUGGCGCUACAACACGCUACAGCAGGUCCGUUUGACAAGAAACACUUCUGUUACAGACACUUGUCUUACUUUGUUAAAGCGGUUUACCUGUCCAGCAGAAAGGUUACAGGGUCACCAAGAUCCCCAAGCGUCCCCCAUGGUUUAUGUUGACCCGGCUUUUUAGCUCUUGUCCGGUCUACCUCCGUUUUAAGUGCCCGUUAUUCCUCCAGAGUCUCCGGUAUUUACUUUGUUUUCUUGAAGUUCUUGAAAACUUCGCUGGAGGUUUGCAAAUAAUGGACUUUCUUUUCAGUGUUUGCAGCCCAGUUAGAGGUUUAUUCAACUUUUCGGAUUUGUCUGUGAAAUAAACAUUAACUUAUCUGUCUUUGUUGAGUCCCAGUUUUACUGUAAAUAUUAAAUUACACAGAGGCUUCAACUUAAAUGUUCUAAACCAGCAAAAGAAACUUAUUCCCUCGUGAUUUUUCAUCAUCUAAGUUCUAGAACAACUCGUAAUUUCUUGGUAUUUGACAGGUUGACAUUUAAAUGUUUGUCA
Molecule: long non-coding RNA, 2968 nt
Filed under: Xyrichtys novacula (pearly razorfish)
Lineage: Eukaryota; Metazoa; Chordata; Actinopteri; Labriformes; Labridae
Source: RNAcentral